UAGAGAAGAGGAGGAGGGGCGGCGGCGGCGGCGGAGGAGGAGAAGCGGCGAGGGCGAGGGCGGCGGCGCGGUGGCGGCAGUCGGUACCGUGGCUUCUUCCUCUUCCGGGGCCGCCGCAGCAGGUUCGGCCGGUUCAGGCCGCCGCCGUUCGUCUUCUUCUUCUUCACCUCGUUCCCGUUCGUUUUCCUCUUCCACUUGUUGCGCCACGACAAGCUGGUCCGGUGGAUGCUGUUCGACGAGUGGCUCCACGGGUUCAUGUUCGUCUAGUGCGGGAGGCAGGAGAGGCUCGCGGAGUCCUAGUUGCCCAGAGACCGUGCGUCCCGAUAGUUCCUGGACUACCUCUCCCCUGAGUAGUCCUACCACAGUUAGGUGAGGUCGGUCGUCUAGAAGUGGUCCCGCUGUUUGUGGACUAAAUAGUAAUAGUACACAAGACCCAGACAAAAAUCAGGUCAUCUGACUCCACAACGACAAUGUAAGUUCAAGUGAUACAGGUCCCCCCGUGUGACACGGUGGUCAUUACAACUUAACGAAAACUCAAAACCAUGUGAAAUUCUAGCAAAACAGUCGCGUUACUUUAGAUGGAGUAUAUAACGGGAUAACACAGAAGAAUAAACAACGAC
This 620-nucleotide ribosomal RNA is filed under the name Triticum aestivum (bread wheat). RNAcentral describes it as "partial small subunit ribosomal RNA". Lineage: Eukaryota; Viridiplantae; Streptophyta; Magnoliopsida; Poales; Poaceae. The record is from RNAcentral.